RNAcentral lists this long non-coding RNA (734 nucleotides) under Neogobius melanostomus (round goby). RNAcentral describes it as "lncRNA (ENSNMLG00000004814.1)". Lineage: Eukaryota; Metazoa; Chordata; Actinopteri; Gobiiformes; Gobiidae. The record is from RNAcentral.
UAAAACUUUUAUUUGACCAAUAAUGCCUAAUAACCCAAAUACAUUCAAAUGAAUCAGUCAGAAUCAUGUGGCAAAUACAUCAUUCUAAAAAAAAAACAUUUUAAAUCUAAAUCUCGACAAGAAUUUUAGCACUGUAUGUACUUCCGAUUUUAUCACACCUGAGGGCGCUAGAGCCCAACCCAUCUUCUCCAGCGUCAUCACAACUGACUGGGUCGCCCUGCCUUCUAGUGGCCACUGUGCGAACAUAAAAGCCCACCUGCUCUGAGCUGUGUGUUGCAACUCAAAACAAAAGCGAUCAGAAAAGGUCGUGAAUGUCGUCAGUGUUUUUGGGUCACUCUUGGCUCCUGGACAGCUGCAGCAGGCGCACGCACCUUUCCUCUCUGGACAGUGCACGGCUCCUCCACUCCCCUCAUUGGCUGCGCAGCACACAGACCUGUUCCUCAGCCAGCCCAGCCACCACCGCUACUGCUGCUACUGCUGCCGCCGCUGGGACGAGACUUGACUUACUUUGUCUUUUGUCAUCGGACGGGCCGCGUCCAGCUUCGACUGUUGGGCUCCCUGUUCCCUCGCUCCGAUGAUUGGCAACCCUGAGAGGUGACCGGUGUGAACUGAGUUGGAAUGCAGGAUUACCUUCUGACCUUAACCUAGGAGAGGCUGAGGGACCCAGACCACUAGAUGUAACGUUUUCUAAGUUGUGUUGCACUACGAUGCAUUUAAAAUGUCUACAAUGACGC